UACGUAGGGGGCGAGCGUUGUCCGGAGUUACUGGGCGUAAAGGGCGUGCAGGCGGUGCGGUAAGUUUAGAGUGACAGUCUUCGGCUUAACUGGAGAAGGCCUCUGAAAACUGCCGGACUUGAGGGCCAGAGAGGGACAUAGAAUUCCGGGUGGAGUGGUGAAAUGCGUAGAUAUCCGGAGGAAUACCAAAGGCGAAGGCAGUGUCCUGGCUGGCAUCUGACGC
This 223-nucleotide ribosomal RNA is filed under the name uncultured bacterium. RNAcentral's name for it is "partial 16S ribosomal RNA". It matches the Rfam family "Bacterial small subunit ribosomal RNA", at positions 524 to 746 of the family's 1533-position model. The record is from RNAcentral.